ACUGGUUUGCGAAGGCUUCGCGUGUGCGAAGGUUGCGGCCAAGAGCAAACGAAAUCGCGUAUGUGCCGCGACAAGACAGCUGAUGACUAAUUUCUGAUGCACGCGUUUACCUCAUUGCGGUGAAGUGUCGUGAAACAUCCGGAGAUCAUUAUCUCACCCAUGGAAAAUUGUGCGAUGUAUUUUUAAAACGCUCGUUUGCCACGCGCGUUAUCACUUCCCGGUAGAUUAAUCGGUCAUAAUGACCGAUACUUAAGACAUACAUUAUGUCUCAUAAUAAAAGAAAAUGUCGUUAACGACACAUUUAUGAUAUAAUAUAAUCAAACGGCAGUGUGAUCGGAAACGAUGAGCACUAUUUCAAAUUUUAUAGAUUAACUUUUGAUACGCGUCUCCAGUCUCCGUGCAAGCGCCAAUUCGUACGUGUGCGCGAACGUGACACGUUCACCCGCUGCCGAUUAUUAAAUUUGUAUUAGCACCGGUGAGUCCCGCGCUCGUAAAGCGUAAUUUGACUGGUAACCCGGAGGUGAAGGCGUUACACAGGCGGAAUCGUGGUAACGUAACGAAAACGAAGAGGAUCCGUUGGUGACGAGGAGAAAGAGGAAGAGAGAGAAGGAGAGACGAAGACAGAGACGAAGAGGAACCAAGAGUGGAACAUUCCCAUUUUCACGUGAGACGGUACAAAGGACAUCCGAUAUCCAAAAUGCAUCUCUCGGCAUCACUCUUCCUUAUCAUGCUGUGCGUCCUGGUUCAUUCGGCGGUCGGCAUCCAAGAGAUGGUAAACUCCGAUUCCGUUUACUUCCCUGAUCAAGCGGAUUACAUCAAGCUUGCCACAAAGUGUCCGAGCGACACGAUACUGUGGCCUGCGAACCGUCGGUGCUACAAAGAGGGUGAGCAAGGUCCCUGCAACGUCGGUCGGGUGCUGCUGUUCGACCGUCGGUUACUGCGACCGUACUGCAAGGAUAUCAUGUUCUAAAGGACUAUCCGUGCUAUACCACAGCGAACAGCCGGGUGUAACCAACUGCCAAACGACCAACUGCAGUUUAAUCCGCCACCUGCUGCGAUUCGUUGCACGAUAGGUGACGGCAGCGACCGCGAAUUUCCCGUUCGAGAGGCUCAAUUAUAUGUUUCGACACGGACAAAAAUAUUUGUUCAAGCAAAGAGAAAACGCGUAGAUAUUUAUUAAUGGAAUUAUAAAUACUCGUAUAAUGGAAUUGUAAAUACUCGUAGCGACGGCGUCGCGUUCGAUAUCAAAAAUAAUAUCCCUGCGUAAACGCAAAGGAGUUGCAUCGGACGUUUGCGUAAGGCAGAUCCAUGCUGUUUCUCUAGGCAGAAUUUUUUAAUUUGUUAAUAAAAGCGAACUCGCAGGAGAGAAGCUCAAAUCAAAUGUUAGUCUGAUAAUUAGCGUGAUACCUCAAUUUUUAUUUAAAUAUUAAUGCCAUGUCACGUGUGAUUGUAUAUGAAAUAUUUACGAGAUUUAUGCUCGAAGUAAUCUCUUGUGCCUUAGUUUGUCUAGAUUUUUAUUGUUAAUUAUUAUAUUAUAAUCAUAUUCUUCGUGUGGCGUGUGUAUGUGUGAAUUGAAUUUUCCAACUGACUCGCGCGUCAUUUAACAUUUAGAGAAAUACGCUUUAAUUGACUGCAUAAAAUAUAGAUCUGAUAGAUUAGAUUCUUUUUAUGCUCUAUUCUCAACUUAGUAUGUAGCUCAUGAAUUUUUACUGCUACUAUUCAUAGAAAAUGAUAGAUGUAUUUAUUUAAAAUCCAUGUAAUGCCAAUAAUUUUCCAUCUAUAAAAGAUAACUGUAGUUUAGUAAGUAUUUAUAUUUACAUUUUGAUAUUACCAGAGAGUUAUUAAUUAUUAUUGAUAGCGAUUGAAAUAGCAAUUAUUCUGCUGAUUUGUAUUUAUGUAAUAAAAUUUUUAUUGUCGCAAAAUAUAUCAAAUAAUAGCAAA
RNAcentral lists this long non-coding RNA (1941 nucleotides) under Ooceraea biroi (clonal raider ant). RNAcentral's name for it is "uncharacterized LOC105281460, transcript variant X2". Lineage: Eukaryota; Metazoa; Arthropoda; Insecta; Hymenoptera; Formicidae. The record is from RNAcentral.